This is a long non-coding RNA of Triticum dicoccoides, 859 nucleotides long. RefSeq lists it as uncharacterized. Lineage: Eukaryota; Viridiplantae; Streptophyta; Magnoliopsida; Poales; Poaceae. The record is from RefSeq and is a predicted model, not a curated record. The transcript has 2 exons.
CGGAGAAGAUAUCGCCCCUUCAACGUGAGGCCGGAGAUCGGCGACAGCUGCUUCUGAGAAGCUUCCUGGUCUGCUACCCACGGGCCAUCUCUUUCAGUAGCUCUGGUACCUCCUUCAGUCAACAGAGAGCAAUCAAUGGCAGGGAAUGUAUGGCAGGCUUGCUCUUGCACAGCUGGCCAGCUGGAAUAUGCCAGCGGUAUCUUUGUGCCCGGUCAACGGUCAACGUACCGGCUUCUCAUCUUUGGAAUAAUGAUCCCAGCCAGUGAUCUCAAGACUCUGCUGGGCGAGAUGGGGUCAACGUUUCCGGUCGGUCAGCUCAGCUGUAACCUUAACUGCUGCUAACCAGAAAUGCAAUGCAAUGCAAUGACCUUGGGCCUGACUAGCAAGCAACAAUGCUCCUGAACUGAUUACAUAAUGUGUUCUUGAGAUGGUGGACGGAAUGGAAUCGGGAUCGGAAGAAUAUCCGUGAACACGGGGCAAUUGAUCAGUGGCAAGAAAUUCAUGGUUAGUUCUUGCACAGCUAGCUAGAUGGAGACUUGGAAUGUACUCUCUGUACCUUCUGCAUGUUGGUCAUGGUCCUUGGCUUUCAGAUGGAUGGGGUGAUCCAAGACUGAACUUUGAAGGCUUGCUGACCCAGACCAGGUCACACACGCCCUGCUGCAAGCCAUUUAAUACCUUAAGUCCUUAACUAUUGGUACGUACUAAUCAGGACUGCAAUGGUACGACUUGUAAUGUACGUAUGUAUGCGUGUACUUAGCAAAUAAGUGAAAUGUUUGAUUGCAUAUCUUGGCCAGAUGUUGGAGACGAAAAAAAACGAGGUUUCUCUUUUUAAUUUAAUUAAUUUGUGUUGAUGCAAGCA